This is a long non-coding RNA of Microplitis demolitor, 1161 nucleotides long. RefSeq lists it as uncharacterized. The transcript has 2 exons. NCBI's taxonomy places the organism in Eukaryota, Metazoa, Arthropoda, Insecta, Hymenoptera, Braconidae. The record is from RefSeq and is a predicted model, not a curated record.
CACGUGUAUCCAUAUAUAUAUAUAUAUAUAUACUAUAGAUACUUAUUCGGUGACAAGUCAGUAUCAGUUGAAACCUCUUCAAGUGAAAUACGUUAAUAAAUCUGUAAAAAUAAUAAUUACUAUUAUUUUAAUUUUUUGAAUCCCAAUUACUUGGAAAAUUAUGUCUCGCUUGUUGAUAAUUUGUUUAAUCGCAUUAUGCCUAGUUGCAACAUUGAUGGCAUUCCCAAACAGAAAAUAUCCUCGACACGCAAAUUUUGGAAGCACCAUUAUCAGUCGAGAUGAUACAACAACCGAGAAAUGUGAGUUGUGCUUUGAUAAACCAAGAAGAAUCUAACAUACAGCUGCAAUAUAAAAUAUAUAUUUUAUCAUUUUUUUCAACAAAAUAUUUUAUUUUAUAUUGUAUAAAAUGACAUCAUAUCUGAUCAUUUGCGGCAUUUUAAGUCAGCAAUUUAGUCUAUCUAGUUCAACAAAAAUCAAACAAUCCAGCUUAGUCAAUUUAUAAUCCACUAAAGUCAUAAAUUUUUAUUUUAAGUUUAGAUUACAUUAACUAAUGUUAAGUCAGUAUCACAAUAAUUAUAUAAUAAGCAAUAACAAAAAACCUUAACUGCAAAAAAAAAAUAUAUAUAUAUAUAUAUAUAUAUAUAUAUAUGCAUGUAUAUGUUCAGCUAAAAAGUAUUAAAAUUAAAUAGCACAUUUAAAUCUAUUUCAACGUAUUUGAAAAUGCGUAUUUUUUCUUUAUUUAAUGGAUAUUCGUAAAUAAUGGAAAAAAAAAAAAAAAAUACAUAAUAGCGCCUUUCAUUUACAAUAAUUAAAUUUAUAUUUCUAUGUUUUUAAGAAUGAGCAGUUUUAUUGUAACUAUUAUUGUUAAUAUUAUUAUGUAUAAUUAAAUGCAUGUUGUAAAAUAAAAUAUUGAUAUAAAUCACGUAUUUAAAAAAAAAUAAAUAUAGAUAUAAAAAGUUUUUGGAAAUAGGGUGACUGAGACAGCAAAUGAACACUUAGUUAAUGAAUGAACGGUCGUAAUUUUAUGUACAGAGUAUCUUGAUCUAAAAUGAUACAACAAAACUACAGUUCAAGUUCUAGAAGUUGUUAAUAAAACAUUUUAUGUAAUUGUAAUUAAAGUCUAAAAGAUGGACAGAAUAAGUAAAAAUUUAAUCAUGUCGA